GUAUGAUAUACUUGUUACAGCAGACAAGUUAAGAUGGUGGCUAUCCCGAAUGGAGGUGGUGCUUAUGGUGUAACAGCUAGAAGCCCAGAUUCUAGGAAAGGAGAUGCCUAGUGUCCGUAUCGGAUGCGCUACAACUAAUGAUUAGCUUUGGGAGGUUUACCCUAACACUAAU
Molecule: small RNA, 172 nt
Filed under: Leuconostoc pseudomesenteroides
Lineage: Bacteria; Bacillati; Bacillota; Bacilli; Lactobacillales; Lactobacillaceae
Description: Listeria sRNA rli28
Rfam family: Listeria sRNA rli28
Source: RNAcentral